AAAGCGGAGGAAAAGAAACCAACAGGGAUUGCCCUAGUAACGGCGAGUGAAGCGGCAACAGCUCAAAUUUGAAAUCUGGCUUCGGCCCGAGUUGUAAUUUGUAGAGGAAGCUUUUGGUGAGGCACCUUCUGAGUCCCCUGGAACGGGGCGCCAUAGAGGGUGAGAGCCCCGUAUAGUCGGAUGCCGAUCCAAUGUAAAGCUCCUUCGACGAGUCGAGUAGUUUGGGAAUGCUGCUCAAAAUGGGAGGUAAAUUUCUUCUAAAGCUAAAUACCGGCCAGAGACCGAUAGCGCACAAGUAGAGUGAUCGAAAGAUGAAAAGCACUUUGAAAAGAGGGUUAAAUAGCACGUGAAAUUGUUGAAAGGGAAGCGUUUGUGACCAGACUUGCGCCGUUCCGAUCAUCCGGUGUUCUCACCGGUGCACUCGGGACGGCUCAGGCCAGCAUCGGUUUUGGCGGGGGGAUAAAGGUCCGGGGAACGUAGCUCCUCCGGGRGUGUUAUAGCCCCGGGCGUAAUGCCCUCGCCGGGACCGAGGUUCGCGCAUCUGCAAGGAUGCUACGUAGGU
Molecule: ribosomal RNA, 562 nt
Filed under: Neurospora sp.
Lineage: Eukaryota; Fungi; Ascomycota; Sordariomycetes; Sordariales; Sordariaceae
Description: partial large subunit ribosomal RNA
Source: RNAcentral